UGCUGCUGCCUCCUUGAACUGACAACAGCUCUGACAGUGCCUUGUGCCUCUCACCAGGCCCCUUGGAACAGAGACACCCCCAGCCACCCGAACCCUGACGGUGGGCCCCCUGUCCCAUGGUCCCGUGGCCCUCUGUGUCCUGACAUGCCAGGCAGCAGCAGCACACGCGUAGCCCCAACAGCCCAGCCAUGGAGCAGCAAGCCUGGAUACUGAGGGGCUUCCUGGCUCAAGUGGAGAGAAAGGAGGCUGAGGAGGAGGAAGCGGAGAGUGGCUUCACAGGGGAGUUCUCAAGGCUCAAACGCCAGUCCACCAAGUACCGCACUGACAAAACCUACCCCACCAAAGUAGCGGAGAAGCAGGAGAAUGUGAAGAAGAACCGAUACAAGGACAUUGUUCCCUUUGACCACAGCAGAGUGAAGCUGUCCCUUACCACCUCUAAGAAUGACAAUGACUACAUCAAUGCCAGCUUCAUCAAGGGAGUGUCAGGGGCCAGGGCCUACAUUGCCACUCAGGGCCCUCUGCCCCACACCGUGCUGGACUUCUGGAGGAUGCUCUGGGAGUACAACAUAGAGGUCAUAGUGAUGGCUUGCAGGGAGUAUGAGAUGGGCAGGAAAAAGUGUGAGCGCUACUGGCCGGAGAAACAAGAGGAGCCAUUUGUUUGUGACCCGUUUACUAUUUACUGCGACUCAGAGGAAAGUAAAGGGGACUAUGUGUGCAGAAACUUGAGGGUGACCUAUCGUAAUUGGUGCCGGACCCUGAGACAGCUGCAUUAUAUCAACUGGCCCGACCAUGGGGUCCCUGACACCAUCCCUCCCAUCCUGGAGCUGCUGCAAGAGAUGCGAUCCUACCAGGCCCAUGGGGAUGUGCCCAUCUGCAUACACUGCAGUGCUGGCUGUGGAAGAACAGGAGCACUGUGUGCCAUCGACUACACCUGGAACCUGGUGAAAACACAGCUGCUCAAAGAAGACUUCAGCAUCUAUGACCUGGUUCAGGACAUGAGAACACAGAGGCCUUCUGUGGUUCAGACCAAGGAACAGUACGAGCUGGUGUACAGAACCAUCAAGUUCCUGUUGGAGAAGUAUCUGCAGUCCAUGGCACCAGCACAGCCUUCCUGCACAGAGGAGGUGCCAGCGGCCCCCUCACCCCCUACAGCCAGUGACAGUGAGCUCUCUGACCUCAGUGAGGCGUCUGAAGCUGAACAGGAACCAGAACCUGAGCCACAGCAUCAAAUGGAACCACAGACAGAGCACAGAGAGAGAAAUGCCUCCAUAUUGUGUUGCAGGCACCCAGAUAGGGAGGAGCCUGAUGGGAUAUCCAAUCACGUCUUACCAGUGGCUUUCUCUGCCUCAGCAGCGGUGCAUGAUGGUGACCCACUGUCUGACUCGGCUACGUGCUCCCCCUCAGUCAUCCUCAAUGCCCUGAGAGCCAGGGACAGGCAGAGGGAACAGCAGAGACCAAACUCCCUACCAACACAGACUAUUAACCAGAAACCACAACCCCUACAGAUACAGACUAAUAGCAUGUCCAUGAACCAGAGACCACCAUACCCACUACCGACAAAGCCCGAUACAUUGCCCACCAGCCAGGCCCUGAGACAAGAGCCCAGUCUCCGCAUCCCCAUCAUAACCUCUCAGGCACUCAUGACUCAGGAAUUAUGUCAGAGAGCCAUGGAGCAAAAGAAGGUGGAGAGUGAUGGAGAGAUCACCCGACUGGUACCACCAGUGCUCUCUGCAGUUUCCAUCUCCAACCCCCUCUGUCUCACUGUGGAGGACCUCUACUUUUUACCUGACUUUUCAAUGACCUCACCCCUGGCUGCUGAGGCUCCCAGAGGUGCUGAUAAUGAGGAGCUGGCUCCUCUGAGCAAGUUGACAGAGAACCCCUGUUUCAAUGGUUCAAGUAUAACUCUUAAAGACCAGGCGAUGGAACUGCCAGCCCUUGUCAUCACAAACGCUGCCGCAGGUGCACUUGUACCUUUCUCGGAUGAAGACAGUCCACCUCCAUUACCUGAGAGAACCCCUGAAUCAUAUGUGCUGGCUGCUGGAACAGAGCAUCCUGAUAACAUCUCUAAACCUGAGAGGUUAGAGGUCAUCAUCCCUCCUAAUGCUGCAGCUGAAGCCCUCAGGGGGAACGGUGAGUGGAGGGCCUUUGAAGGCCCUCAUAAUACUCUUCAUAAGCUCUUCUACAAAAGCAUUCAAACACAUUUCUUCUCUACCGCACUCCCGAAGGGAGUGCCCCCUCGCCUAUCCCCCCACUGCCAGAGAGAACGCCAGAAUAAUUUGUGUUGGCCAACAAUUCCGUGUCACCCCAGGAUACAGUAUCACCCCCAGUUACAUUGCCUCCCCCGGUUAGAUAUUCUGUUCCUGCUCCCUGUACAUCAGUAAACCUUCCUCCUCCCCCUCCACCUCCCUAUCCUCUGGCCCCUUCUCACUCACCUCCAGGCUCAGAUAAUCUGACUCCCCCUCUACCUGAGAGAACCCCAGAAUCCUUCUUCCUGGUCACUCAAGAAGUUGAUCAGAACAGUGCCCCCUGCCAGAGUCAGAGCAACAGCCAGACCACAUCCACACAGCAGAGGAUCGGUACGUCCUCAGAGUGGGCAGGGAACUCCCAACCCAAAAGAUUACUGGAUGGAAUCAUGAAUCGGAGCAAGGUAACAGACAUUGACAGACUCUGGGUGCUGUAGCUGUCAAGACUUUAAGGAGGUGUGAUAGUCACCCUCAUCGAAAUGAUACUUCUAGAAUGUAUUAUAGUACUAUCCCCCAGUAAUUCAAUUUCUAUGGUCAGUAGAGACUCUUACUCUUGUGUCAUGUGUAUUUAAUGGGUACAUCUAGCUAGUACAGGAUGUUGCCACAUACCCCUUAGUGUCAUGUGUAUUUAAUGGGUACAUCUAGCUAGUACAGGAUGCUGCCACACACCCCUUAGUGUCAUGUGUAUUUAAUGGGUACAUCUAGCUAGUACAGGAUGCUGCCACACACCCCUUAGUGUCAUGUGUAUUUAAUGGGUACAUCUAGCUAGUACAGGAUGUUGCCACACACCCCUUAGUGUCAUGUGUAUUUAAUGGGUACAUCUAGCUAGUACAGGAUGCUGCCACACACCCCUUAGUGUCAUGUGUAUUUAAUGGGUACAUCUAGCUAGUACAGGAUGCUGCCACACACCCCUUAGUGUCAUGUGUAUUUAAUGGGUACAUCUAGCUAGUACAGGAUGUUGCCACACACCCCUUAGUGUCAUGUGUAUUUAAUGGGUACAUCUAGCUAGUACAGGAUGUUGCCACACACCCCUUAGUGUCAUGUGCAUUUAAUGGGUACAUCUAGCUAGUACAGGAUGUUGCCACACACCCCUUAGUGCCAUGUGUAUUUAAUGGGUACAUCUAGCUAGUACAGGAUGUUGCCACACACCCCUUAGUGUCAUGUGUAUUUAAUGGGUACAUCUAGCUAGUACAGGAUGCUGCCACACACCCCUUAGUGCCAUGUGUAUUUAAUGGGUACAUCUAGCUACUACAGGAUGCUGCCACACACCCCUUAGUGCCAUGUGUAUUUAAUGGGUACAUCUAGCUAGUACAGGAUGUUGCCACACACCCCUUAGUGUCAUGUGUAUUUAAUGGGUACAUCUAGCUAGUACAGGAUGUUGCCACACACCCCUUAGUGCCAUGUGUAUUUAAUGGGUACAUCUAGCUACUACAGGAUGCUGCCACACACCCCUUAGUGUCAUGUGUAUUUAAUGGGUACAUCUAGCUAGUACAGGAUGCUGCCACACACCCCUUAGUGUCAUGAACUGAUCUUUACUAAAUGCCCAUUUUUGUUCUCCUCGUGAUUCAUGCAAUGGCUCAUAUGUUCCCAUUGUUGUUAAUACAUGAGUACAUUAAUACAACACUCUAAACUGUUCCCUUAGAGUGUCCACGCAAAGAGUUCACUGAAAGGUAAGCUCUUUUCUCAAUAGUGACUGAGAAAAGCCAUCUGUGACUGAGAAAAGCCAUCUGUUUUUGUCUUUGUUUUUUCUUCUACUACCAGUUCAUCUGUCUGUUUGAUGUUAACAAGGAAAAAGUCAACGUCAAAUGGUUGCUCUUGGCUUUGCUCUCUCACACAAUAAAAGGCACAAAUAGAAAUCACUGAAAAACAUCAUUAUACACACUCAGUGGCCUUGUGGUUAGUGUCUGCCCUAAAAUUGGAAGGUUGGGAGUUCGAUCACCGAGUCGUACACAAGACUGUAAAUAAUGGAACACGAUGUGUCUCUGGAGAUCGAUUGGGUAAGGCCUUGCGAUCGACUAGUGUCCUGUCUAGGGUGGUGUACUUUUAUAUCAAGCUACCUCAUGCGACACAAACAAGAUAUAGCGAGAAAUACUAAUGUUGGCUUUUUGCAGGCACUAAUUCCGCCGUGGUUCGUUGUACAAAGCCUAUGGAGAAAAUUAAUGGCGUUUUUGGAGGGUUUUUGGAUAAACGUUGAAUAUAAGUUUUGUGGUAACACAGACUUAGAAGAUCUUAUACGUUUUGUUCUAUGAGAAUCUUCAUCAGCUAACAUAUCUUUAUGUGAAUUUGGAAGCAUUUAUUCAGUUUAAUGAAACACAAAACACAAAGGCUUCAUAAUGGUCAUGUUAAUUGACUAUUACUAUUAUCUCACAGAACAAAACGUAUCAGAUCUCCUGAGCCUGUGUUAACCUCAGACCUUAUUUUCGACAUUUGUUCCAAAACACCAUUAUUUCGCCAUAAAUGUUUCACAUAGGAAUGGCUGAAUGAACCAGAGGUAACUCAUUUCUGGGUUAUAGGACUACAAGCUGGCGAGCUCUAUAGGAUCCUUUAUCCUAUGGGCCAUUCUGGCUCGUGCAAGGCUACUUACUCUGAUUGUAAUUGAUGACAUGAUAAUGAGAACUAAUGUCAGAAGUAGUCCUUCCUUGAGCUAUCUGAUGUUUGAGAGAACAUACAGUACUUUACAAUUAGUCUGUCUACAUUUUCUCUACAGAGCCCCUGACUACUGUUCCUCUGGUUGCUCAAGUCGUUGUGGCUUUAGGAGGAAGUGCUGAAAUGAAGCUUCAGCAGCCUGUGGACAACAGCACCUCAACCAGCACUGGGACUACUGAAGACGAAUCAGACAAAAACAGUGGGAAGGCCUUGUCUAGAACAAAGAGCCUGAAGUUAUUCAAACUCAGACAGAAACCAAAGUCUGCCCCUCCACCAGUACCAACCCACUCUGGACCAUCUCCUCCUUAUGGUACCUCCACCUCAUCAUCAGUGUUCACAUUUGGAUUUGGGACUCGUUUUGGGAAGCCUAAAGGGCCAAGGAGUCAUCCUGAGACGUGGGUGUAAGACAGCCAGUCAACAAAGCUGGCCACUGUCCUCAGAUCACAGGGCUGGAACCCUGCAUGUGGCUACUAGCCACUCAACUGGACUAGGGAUGGUCCCUAGACAACUUUUGACAUUGUGAAGGAAGAGCAUCAUUCCAAGAAGAAUCAUGUAGCUUUCUCCCUGUGUUCUGAGACGACAUGAACACUGUCUCGCAAACUGCUCUCACGGCCCAAUGAUCAACCUCGGAUUAGCUUUAAAUUGGAGCACCUGCUAUUCAUGACAAAUUGAUCGUACUGUAGUUAUUUAUCCGUGCCUGUAGGGAGAACUUGUGCCUCUGAAAUGUGGUGGAAGGAUGCAAUCAAUUGUAGGCAAAGGAUGGAUGGAAAGAAUGGAAGGAUGAGUUGAUAAAUGUUAGAGGGCUACUUUUGGCUAUUUUGCCUGAUAAAUACAGUAAGGUACUUUGAAUAGUUGGUAGCACGUUACUUAAUACAUGUUACCAAAUAUUUUUCUAUGCUGAUGUUUAUUUGUUAUUGUUUGUAUAGGCUCCUUCUGAUCCAGACAAAAUCCAGAUCUACACCUGGACUGUACAGAGUGAUGAACUGUUUUUAAGAGUAAUAUAUUUGUACUGGUAUUAUUUUUCAUGGUGGUGUGAGAUAAGCAGACAGGUCUGUAUUGUGCAAACAUCACAUUCAUUGUUGUAACUUGGUGGAUGUGUUUUCUAUAUGGGCUAUCAUUUAAAAAGUCAAGAAAAUACAUAUUGCUCUAAAUUGA
Oncorhynchus kisutch (coho salmon) is the source of this 6044-nucleotide RNA transcript. It is a transcript of the gene named protein tyrosine phosphatase non-receptor type 22, with no coding region annotated. The transcript has 21 exons. The record is from RefSeq and is a predicted model, not a curated record. Lineage: Eukaryota; Metazoa; Chordata; Actinopteri; Salmoniformes; Salmonidae.